RNAcentral lists this ribosomal RNA (254 nucleotides) under uncultured bacterium. RNAcentral's name for it is "partial 16S ribosomal RNA". It matches the Rfam family "Bacterial small subunit ribosomal RNA", at positions 526 to 779 of the family's 1533-position model. The record is from RNAcentral.
CGGAGGGGCGUAGCGUUGUUCGGAAUUACUGGGCGUAAAGCGCACGUAGGCGGAUUGGUAAGUCAGAGGUGAAAUCCCGGGGCUCAACCCCGGAACUGCCUUUGAAACUCCCAGUCUUGAGGUCGAGAGAGGUGAGUGGAAUUCCGAGUGUAGAGGUGAAAUUCGUAGAUAUUCGGAGGAACACCAGUGGCGAAGGCGGCUCACUGGCUCGAUACUGACGCUGAGGUGCGAAAGCGUGGGGAGCAAACAGGAUU